Molecule: ribosomal RNA, 468 nt
Filed under: uncultured bacterium
Lineage: Bacteria
Description: partial 16S ribosomal RNA
Rfam family: Bacterial small subunit ribosomal RNA
Source: RNAcentral
GACGAACGCUGGCGGCGUGCUUAACACAUGCAAGUCGAACGGAAAGGCCCUGCUUUUGUGGGGUGCUCGAGUGGCGAACGGGUGAGUAACACGUGAGUAACCUGCCCUUGACUUUGGGAUAACUUCAGGAAACUGGGGCUAAUACCGGAUAGGAGCCCCUGCUGCAUGGUGGGGGUUGGAAAGUUUCGGCGGUUGGGGAUGGACUCGCGGCUUAUCAGCUUGUUGGUGGGGUAGUGGCUUACCAAGGCUUUGACGGGUAGCCGGCCUGGGAGGGUGACCGGCCACAUUGGGACUGAGAUACGGCCCAGACUCCUACGGGAGGCAGCAGUGGGGAAUAUUGCACAAUGGGCGGAAGCCUGAUGCAGCAACGCCGCGUGCGGGAUGACGGCCUUCGGGUUGUAAACCGCUUUCGCCUGUGACGAAGCGUGAGUGACGGUAAUGGGUAAAGAAGCACCGGCUAACUACGUG